UGGAGAUGUACCCAAGUGGCUGAAGGGUCCGCACUCGAAAUGCGGUAGGUCGGGUAACCGGCGCGAGGGUUCAAAUCCCUCCAUCUCCGUC
Molecule: transfer RNA, 91 nt
Filed under: [Clostridium] symbiosum
Lineage: Bacteria; Bacillati; Bacillota; Clostridia; Lachnospirales; Lachnospiraceae
Also listed under: 2 other names
Description: tRNA-Ser(cga)
Rfam family: tRNA
About the family: Transfer RNA (tRNA) molecules are approximately 80 nucleotides in length.
Source: RNAcentral